GACGUAGGGCGCGAGCGUUGUCCGGAUUUAUUGGGCGUAAAGAGCUCGUAGGCGGCUUGUCGCGUCGACUGUGAAAACCCGUGGCUCAACCAUGUGGUCUGCAGUCGAUACGGGCAGGCUAGAAUUCGGUAGGGGAGACUGGAAUUCCUGGUGUAGCGGUGAAAUUCGUAGAUAUUCGGAAGAACACCAGUGGCGAAGGCGACUUACUGGACACAUAUUGACGCUGAGGUGCGAAAGCGUGGGGAGCAAACAGG
Molecule: ribosomal RNA, 254 nt
Filed under: uncultured bacterium
Lineage: Bacteria
Description: partial 16S ribosomal RNA
Rfam family: Bacterial small subunit ribosomal RNA
Source: RNAcentral